This 78-nucleotide unclassified non-coding RNA is filed under the name Halpernia humi. Its description in RNAcentral is "Chryseobacterium humi Flavo-1 RNA". The record is from RNAcentral. Lineage: Bacteria; Pseudomonadati; Bacteroidota; Flavobacteriia; Flavobacteriales; Weeksellaceae.
UUUUUGCGAAAAACCGCAGCCCGACUUGAACGGAGCUCUCCGCCGCGGCGGAAGCGGGAGUGGAAGGCGGAACAAGCU